This 987-nucleotide ribosomal RNA is filed under the name human gut metagenome. RNAcentral describes it as "bacterial LSU rRNA". It matches the Rfam family "Bacterial large subunit ribosomal RNA", at positions 1942 to 2925 of the family's 2925-position model. The record is from RNAcentral.
AUAACGGUCCUAAGGUAGCGAAAUUCCUUGUCAGGUAAGUUCUGACCCGCACGAAUGGCGUAACGAUUUGGGCGCUGUCUCAACAGCCCACCCGGCGAAAUUGUAGUACUGGUGAAGAUGCCAGUUACCCGCAACUAGACGGAAAGACCCCAUGGAGCUUUACUGUAGCUUAAUACUGAGGAUUGGUAAUUGAUGUACAGGAUAGGUGGGAGACAUGGAAACAUUGGCGUCAGCCAGUGCGGAGUCACCCUUGGGAUACCACCCUUCAAUUGCUGGUUUUCUAACCUGCGGCCGUGAAUCCGGUCGGGGGACACUGUUAGGUGGGCAGUUUGACUGGGGCGGUCGCCUCCAAAAAGGUAACGGAGGCGCUCAAAGGUUGGCUCAGCACGGACGGAAACCGUGCCUCUGAGUGUAAACGCAUAAGCCAGCCUAACUGCGAGGAUGACGGUCCGAGCAGUAACGAAAGUUGGAGUUAGUGAUCCGGCGGUAUGAGAGUGGAAUUGCCGUCGCUCAACGGAUAAAAGCUACCCUGGGGAUAACAGGCUGAUCUCCCCCAAGAGUCCACAUCGACGGGGAGGUUUGGCACCUCGAUGUCGGCUCAUCGCAUCCUGGGGCUGAAGUAGGUCCCAAGGGUUGGGCUGUUCGCCCAUUAAAGCGGUACGCGAGCUGGGUUCAGAACGUCGUGAGACAGUUCGGUCCCUAUCUGUCGUGGGCGCAGGAUAUUUGAGGAGCGCUGUCCCUAGUACGAGAGGACCGGGAUGGACGCACCGCUGGUGCACCAGUUGUCACGCCAGUGGCACAGCUGGGCAGCUAAGUGCGGAAAGGAUAAACGCUGAAAGCAUCUAAGCGUGAAGCCACCUCCAAGAUAAGAUAUCCCACAGCGUAAGCUGGUAAGACCCCUCAAGGACUAUGAGGUUGAUAGGCUGCAUGUGUAAGUGUUGUGAGACAUUGAGCUUGGCAGUACUAAUAGGUCGAGGGCUUGACCAU